GCGAAGUCGCGAGGCGGAGCAAAUCUCAAAAACCGGUACCCAGUUCGGACUGCAGGCUGCAACCCGCCUGCACGAAGCCGGAGUUGCUAGUAAUCGCGAAUCAGAAUGUCGCGGUGAAUGCGUUCCCGGGUCUUGUACACACCGCCCGUCACACCAUGGAAGUUGGGGGUGCCCCAAAGCCGGCAAGCAAAUAUGCUGUCUAAGGCAAAACCAAUGACUGGGGUGAAGUCGUAACAAGGUAAC
RNAcentral lists this ribosomal RNA (243 nucleotides) under uncultured bacterium. RNAcentral's name for it is "partial 16S ribosomal RNA". It matches the Rfam family "Bacterial small subunit ribosomal RNA", at positions 1249 to 1500 of the family's 1533-position model. The record is from RNAcentral.